CCUCCGGUAGUAUAACGGUUAUUACAGGCGGCUGUAGACCGCUUGAAGGGUGUUCGACUCACUCCCGGGGGA
RNAcentral lists this transfer RNA (72 nucleotides) under Nanobdellota archaeon. RNAcentral's name for it is "tRNA-Tyr". It matches the Rfam family "tRNA". From Rfam's summary of the family: Transfer RNA (tRNA) molecules are approximately 80 nucleotides in length. Their secondary structure includes four short double-helical elements and three loops (D, anti-codon, and T loops). The record is from RNAcentral. Lineage: Archaea; Nanobdellati; Nanobdellota.